UUUUUUUUUUUUUUUUUUGGAGAGAGAGAGAGACUGAGACAGAGAUAGCAUGAGAAGGGGAAGGGGUAGGGAUAGGGACAGAGGGAGGAGAAGCAGAAUUCCCGCUGAGUAGAGAGCCUGGGAUCAUGACCUGAACUGAAGGCAGUCACUUAACCGACUGAGCCCCCAGGCGCCCUGGUUCUUUUCUAAUGGGAAUAACGAAAUUUAGAAUUUAUGGGUUGGUGGGACACAAACCUGUUGGAAUACUGUAAACACCAUAUGUGUCUGUGAGUGAGGUUGUAUGUUUAAUGCAUCCCUACCAUCAAUAGUAAAAAAAUAUUAACCAUGCUGGAAGAAAUAAUGAAUUGUACUCCUACUCAAUAGUUAGAAAAUAUUAUAAAAAUUGUAGUCUAUGAAGAGGUGAAAAAAAUAACAGCACAAAAAAAGUUGACAGUGAAAAUAUGUAGGGAAAAGUGAUUAUAAAGUUUUAUCUGGGGGCACCUGGGUGGCUCAGUCAGUUAAGCGUCUGCUUCAGCUCAGGUCAUGAUCCCUGGGUUGGGAUUGAGCCCUACCUCAGGAUCCCUGCCUAAUGGGGAGCCUGCUUCUCCCAUCUCCCUCUGCUCCUCCCCACCCAGCUCAUGCUAAUAAAUAAAAAUCUUAAAAAACCAUAAAAAACAAAAAACGAUGUGUCUGUCAAUUUGUGUUAUUUUUUUGGCAUUUUAUGUUUGUAGCAUUUUAAUUGAUUGUGCUCUUUUUUCACUCCAAAUAUCCACUUGUGUAAAAUAAGGAAAAAAUCUAAUGAGAACAAAGAAGACAAUUACAUUGAGAAAACUGCUGCUCCCAGUGGGCAAUGGGCUAGAACAUUGCACUCUCACCCACCUCAUCCUACAUAAACCAAAUUUAAGACAUCAAAAAAAGUUUUAUAGUGCUUUCUACAUUUGUCUAACUUUGUAGAUACCGGUCUUAAUGCUACAAUGGUAUCUAAGCAGUUUAUUUUUGGUACUUUUAAGACUUCAUAGUUGAUAGUUUUAGGACUAGACCAAUUGUCUUGACUGUAUUCCAUCCUUUUCUAAGGCCUUCAUGCUUACCCUCUCCAUCUCUCUACCACCCAACCACUGCCCCAGGUUCCUCAGCCAGUAAACAUGCUGCAGUUAUUCUUAUACCAAAAAAUAUGUUUAUUUCCUCACUCUUCUCUACCUCUUUGUCCUAGUUGA
This 1193-nucleotide long non-coding RNA is filed under the name Canis lupus familiaris (dog). RNAcentral's name for it is "lncRNA (ENSCAFG00000058824.1)". Lineage: Eukaryota; Metazoa; Chordata; Mammalia; Carnivora; Canidae. The record is from RNAcentral.